This 3328-nucleotide long non-coding RNA is filed under the name Rhagoletis pomonella (apple maggot). Its description in RNAcentral is "uncharacterized LOC118739476, transcript variant X5". Lineage: Eukaryota; Metazoa; Arthropoda; Insecta; Diptera; Tephritidae. The record is from RNAcentral.
AAAAGAAGAAGAAUCGAACAGCUGUGGCGAAAUUGAAAGCUUUGUUUACAAAGUGCAUAAUAAAUCGCGUUUUUACGGAAUUAUUUAAUUUUAAAGGCUACUUUUCCGGCAGCCCCAACAAACGCUGGUCCAAACCUGCAAAUUGUUGCCAGCAACUGACCCGCUGGCUGCCCACUGGCAUUUGUUCAACUACUCAAAAAUGCACUUUGUAAACAAACCUUUUGGGUGUUGGCCACAUAAAGCGGCUCUUCUGGAUGAAAUGAAAAGGCUGUUAGUUUGAACAUCAGUUCAAAGAAAAGUCAAAUGAGUUGGAAAUGGCCCAGCUUAUCAUACGCCAGUUGUCGGAUAAGGCCAAUGUAAACCAAGGCGGCAAUCGUAUAGAGACCUUGACGCAGACGCAAUUUUUGUACGAGCAACAGAUUAGAGACUUACAAGCUAUGGUGCAACAAUUGACGUAUGCCAAAGAAAGGAAUUUAUGAUGGUCACAAAUAUAUUGGCAAAAACAUAGCAAGUGCAUAUGCAAAGUUGGAAAAAUUGACAAUGCUGGCCAAAAAGAAGAGUCUUUUUGAUAUCGACUGCAAGAGAUUCAAUAAUUGACUUACAUCAUGGUGUAUGCGUUACAAUCUAAAUUAGCCAGCAUGGGCACCGACUUCAAACAGAUAUUAGAAGUGCGUAUAAAAAAUCUCAAACAACAAAAAGCUCAUCGGGAUCAAUUCGGGCAGUCACCAAUUGCUGCUUAUUUUCUGGAUCAUAUGAAAUCACAAAAGAACUAAGGUGGCACUUAGUUUUGAUGUCAGCCGGUGAAAAAUACCAGUGGGGUGCCAUGAAACAAGAUGAUACUCAAGCGGAGCCAAUAAGACCGAUAGAAUACCCAUCGAAGUUUCCGAGGCGUUAAGUGCUCCAAACAAAGACUGCGAUGUUGACAUUGUGGAAGAAUCAACAUCUGUACAAAUAUGGGGACAACAGCAACGCAUCUCGUUUACUUGAUUGAGAAAAGUUCACUCGGUUUCCUCAGAAGUGUGCAGCGUAUAUAAACGGGGUUCAUUACUUUGAAUUUAUCGGAAAUCCUACACUGAAAAAACAUUAAUCAUAGCAUGUUGAUUUUCCGGAAAAUGUAAAGCGAUUUGGUUUCAAGCUCCACAUUUUUUCUUCGUUGACGCCACCUAAAUACAGGUCAUAUAAAGCGACUUUCUGAUAUGGUAAAAAAAAUUUAGUAUCCUUUUAUUUUGGUAUUGGACAUACCAAUUUUGGGACCCCAAGGAUAUUUACUUUUGAUUAUGGACACUGUAAGAAAAAUUAAUAGAAUUAAUAAUACAUAAGUAUUUUGAAAUAAUAUCAAGUUCGGUUGACUAAAUGCCUAAGAUUUUUGCACACGCUUAUGGAGUUCUGCUAGCGCUGCCCAUGCUUGUUUUAAACCCUUGCAUUGACAUUUAAAUAAUACAAAAAAAUUUUAUGUGGACAUACAUUUUUUACCAAAGCAUACUCAAAGGUUAUCUUACUCACGAACUAGGGGACUCCGUUUUACCAUUGCCUACGGCCUUAAAGAACAACAUAAACAGCUGGCCAUCAUGGCGCAUUGUACCCUUCGACAGUCACGUCUACAGUCUGGUCUACGUAACCGGAUCGACCCAGAUUUAUAUCUUGCCAAAGACUGUCACUCCAGCAACACUCCCCAAAAACCAGUUGGGGAACUUGUAUGCUGCUACAACAACAGUCACAGCAUAAUAGCCGUAGUGGCAAACAUUCGAUAAUUACAAUUAUAGUGUAGGAAAGAAAUAAUAGGCCAAUUUAUUAUAAAUUUAGACAUUGAUUCUAUUGUCUGCUAUAUACCGUACCAAUAGUGUUGGUUGUUGCUUCAGUCUCUACAUUGUGCUGUGUCCAGAGAAUCUUUAUAAACUCUUUGUCACGUAAAAUUAUCUCGUCCUUGAACAUCUUUGUGUAUAACAUUGAUAGUUGGGCUUAUGAAACCAUAUAAAAAUUCAACACCAGGAACAUUCAACUCUUCCAUGCUAAAAAAAUCAUUACAUAUAUACUAUUCUACUCGACCCCGUUUUAAAGGAAUCAGGGACUUGCCGUCGCCUUCGGUCGCCUUCAGUUCGUUUUCCUCUUUAUCCAAAGAGAUUAUGGUGAUCCUAAACAUUGCCACACGCUUUUGAUAUUAUACUGCUUGCCCUAAUUUUCUUUUGGAACUCAGCAGCAGCCUUUUUUCGCAUACGGUUUGGACACAUUGCUGCAUAAAAGCAUCACAAUUUUUGCUGGACUUUAACAAAUUGUGAAAACCUUAGAAUAAAUUGUAUAGCUAAAAAUAGUGUCGGACACACAACAUUUCAAGUUGAUAAAAACGUUGCAAAAUAAAAUUGAGCAUUUCCUGACUGUUGCUGAACAACGUUCAAAACUACAAAAUAAUGAAAAGGUAUUAGUCAGUAAUCUAGUAGAGGUUGUAUGGCGUUGAAAUGUACUUUUAAAUGUUUUUAAAUUCACUGUUGAAUUUCUUAUACUCACAUUUCUUGCUUGGCGUGCAAAUUUGCUUGCUUUUUUAAUUGUCAUACUUUGUUUACAUACCUGUUUAAGGUGUUCCAGCAACAAAAACUACACGCAAAUAUGUAUUGCAUUCGCUCUACUACUGCUACCGGGGAACUUGUUAUGAGUUCUGUGCAGUGAGAGUUUAAGAGAACACCUUUGAAUCUCUUAUAAUUAGUGUGGUGAGUAACUUUUAGAAGAGAUAAGCAUUAAUAGAACUGGUUUUAGAGCAACUGCAUUCUUGAAUAAACAGACAAGUUUGUGGGCUUUCUCGCAUGUUCUUCAAAAGCAUAUUAAUUUAAAAGCUCUCAAUAUUUUUGUUAUUCGUUGCAAAAAACCACAUUAAUGUGUGCAUUCUUCGUACACUCCUUAACGUGUGCUUAAAAAACGUUUUAUUUCUGCUCUGACAAAUUACUCAUUUUGACUAAAGGUGUUUUCGUUUCUACCUUUUUUUGCCCCUUCCUCCUUUCGUGUUCAAAUCUAAAAUAAAGGCAAACUGUGUGAAGAUUUUGUAUUCGUUUCUCAAAAUGUCACACUCUUGUAAGGCAAAAAGGCACAUUCUCUGCUCUUUGAAGCUUUGUUGCCCUGAAAAUGAGAUGGUUGCUUAAAACGACAAUAUUCCGGCAGAAACGAAAUCAUCAUUAAUACACUUUUGAAGAACAUGCUCACUAUGUACAUUAGACUGUGACAAUAAAAAUAAAAUGAGCAUUUUUUUCGGUUCCAUGUGAAUAUAUCAUUGUGUGUCACAAAAAACGAACUAAUUACUAACUAAUUAAAAAAAAUUCCAAUUUUGAAUAAAAAAAAUAUG